Long non-coding RNA from Micropterus salmoides (largemouth bass), 1605 nucleotides. RefSeq lists it as uncharacterized. The transcript is spliced from 2 exons. The record is from RefSeq and is a predicted model, not a curated record. Lineage: Eukaryota; Metazoa; Chordata; Actinopteri; Centrarchiformes; Centrarchidae.
GUCAGACACACACAGGAACUGUUGUCUAGUUGAAUCCUUUUAGCAGAGACUGAUCAAAUCUCUGACUGACAAAUUCACAUCAAGAUGGGGAACAUGCAGUGCCCUGCUGAGGAUGCAGCCCUCCUGGCCUCCGUCGCUCGAGAUAUCUGCCCUUUCCCAAACUACAAUCAUAAUCCGGUUUUCAAGAACAUGCUGUCAAUGAAUUCUUCACUUCACCUGAGGAACCACUACGAGGCAGUGCAGUCCUCUUGACCCCCAAGCAGCUGGACGACUUCACCCAGGGCCUGAGGACCACUUUUGGCAGGGAGGGCAAAGUCACUCUUGGCGGGGUGGGGGUAGUGGCCCUGUCUUUGGCUGUGCUGUUUGACACUCUUGCCAGACAGGUCAGGGGAGAGUGGGAGUCAGACUCAGGGCCCAUUCCAGGUUUAUUUGUCAAAAGCUUGAGAGGGUACUACCCACCGUAUGUCUACACAUUCAGCGAGUACCUGAGGCUGGUACCCCACAUUGUGAACAACCCCACCAGGAUGAGAGAGGAGUCAGAGAGGUACUUCAAGCAACUCACAAUCGACAUAAAACUGUGGAAAACAGCGAGAACCCGAUCUGUGAUGACGUCACAGUGGUUAACCACGUGCUUGGACGGUUAUUUCAAAGGAAUCUGCGCAUUCACCUACUCCGUAUUUCCAACUCUUCCGUUGUAGAAGAUGAUAAAAUGGGACAAACUUCUUGCUCAGAAAUCAUUGUGUUCCAUCUCAACUGCGAUCCAGAGGCAGCCAGCAUAGAUUUUUUGGCUGAAGUGCAGAAAUCACAUGACACUCAGAAAGCUUUUAAACAAUGUCAUCCAUCACAGCUCAGCCGAACCUGGUUGGAAUUCAUUGCCGAGCUAGCCUGGCUAGAUGUCAUAUUCGACCAGCGCUUUAUUGCAGAAAACUAUAAUGAAUUACUGUCAGCUCAAAGAGAAGAUUUUGACCUGAAAGCAAAUGCACUCAGAAAAUGGGCAGAGUAGUUCACCGGUCAUCUGUCCAAACAUGCAAGAAAAAAUUUUACUUUAAAAAGAAUACAAAUAAGAACUGCCAUUUAUCAUGCUGCAAAUCUUGUCAUGCUAUUUUUGGUUAAAACAAUUCAGAUCAUUUAAAAUAAACUAAAAUGAACUAAAUGUACUUACUGUACCACUCCCACCAAUGGCAAAUAAUAAUAAUAAUGAACAUAUAGAAAUGCAUAUUUUACAAUAUAAAUAAAAACACAGGAGUGCAUGCACAACUAGCUACAGUAAUAUGCACAUGUGGAUGCCUACAUACACAUUAAGGGACCUACGCUGUCUGAGGAAUAAAAAUCCUGUUUGCCCUCUUAGUGAUGCUGCUAUAAGCCUAGACUGUUGGGAGAUGCACCAAGCUCCUCUCUCUCCUCUCCUUCUCCAUGCUUUCUUAUCCCAUUUAUACAUGUUAAUAACUCCACUUCUUCACGAUCCCAUAGUUUUAUGCUUUCUCAUCCCUCUCCUCUCUCCUGUUGCUGUCACGUGUAUUUUGGGGUAUAUUAUCAUUUAUUUAUAUAUCAAAGUGACAGUAUGUAAUGACAAUGCACACUUUAAACAAUAAUCUACAACAUAAA